CCCUUCCUCAGAAGACCGGGCGGAAGUAAAGCAAGAAGCCGGGACGUGUUUGGGCGGAAGUGGCGGGGCCAGGAGUCCCAAGGCGUGUUUGCACGGAAAUGGCAGCCUUGUCUGUAGAAAGGAUUUCCCAGAAAAUGGAAAUAAAAGGGAGGAAACUCAAGAAGGAAAAGAUAGUGAAAAACCUUUCCCACAGUGCUUUAUAGCUGAGAAAGAAAGAUGGAGUAUACUCCCUGUAAUGUCACUGCAUAUACUUUCAACGCAACGGGUCCAAAAUAUUUAGCUUUAUGAAGCAGAAAAUCCAGACUCUCCCCUCUUUGUGUUAUUGAAAUCCACACACCACGACAACCUCCUCCUUCUUUUUUCGGUUAAAGUUGGCUU
This is a long non-coding RNA of Sceloporus undulatus (fence lizard), 378 nucleotides long. RefSeq lists it as uncharacterized. The record is from RefSeq and is a predicted model, not a curated record. The transcript is spliced from 4 exons. Lineage: Eukaryota; Metazoa; Chordata; Lepidosauria; Squamata; Phrynosomatidae.